This 254-nucleotide ribosomal RNA is filed under the name uncultured bacterium. Its description in RNAcentral is "partial 16S ribosomal RNA". It matches the Rfam family "Bacterial small subunit ribosomal RNA", at positions 524 to 776 of the family's 1533-position model. The record is from RNAcentral.
UACGUAGGGUGCGAGCGUUAAUCGGAAUUACUGGGCGUAAAGCGUGCGCAGGCGGUUUUGCAAGCCGGAUGUGAAAUCCCCGGGCUCAACCUGGGAAUGGCAUUUGGGACUGCAAGGCUCGAGUGCGGCAGAGGAGACUGGAAUUCCUGGUGUAGCAGUGAAAUGCGUAGAUAUCAGGAGGAAUACCGAUGGCGAAGGCAGGUCUCUGGGCUGACACUGACGCUCAUGCACGAAAGGCGUGGGGAGCAAACAGG